RNAcentral lists this ribosomal RNA (457 nucleotides) under uncultured bacterium. RNAcentral's name for it is "bacterial SSU rRNA". It matches the Rfam family "Bacterial small subunit ribosomal RNA", at positions 28 to 497 of the family's 1533-position model. The record is from RNAcentral.
GACGAACGCUGGCGGCACGCUUAACACAUGCAAGUCGAACGAGAGAAGAGAAGCUUGCUUUUCUGAUCUAGUGGCGGACGGGUGAGUAACACGUGAGCAAUCUGCCUUUCAGAGGGGGAUACCGAUUGGAAACGAUCGUUAAUACCGCAUAAUAUAAUUGAACCGCAUGAUUUGAUUAUCAAAGAUUUAUCGCUGAAAGAUGAGCUCGCGUCUGAUUAGCUAGUUGGUAAGGUAACGGCUUACCAAGGCGACGAUCAGUAGCCGGACUGAGAGGUUGAUCGGCCACAUUGGGACUGAGACACGGCCCAGACUCCUACGGGAGGCAGCAGUGGGGAAUAUUGCACAAUGGAGGAAACUCUGAUGCAGCGAUGCCGCGUGAGGGAAGAAGGUUUUAGGAUUGUAAACCUCUGUCUUCGGGGACGAAAAAAAGACGGUACCUGAGGAGGAAGCUUCCGGC